GGGGAUUUAGCUCAGUGGUAGAGCAUUUGCCUAGCAAGCGCAAGGCCCUGGGUUCAGUCCCCAGCUCCG
Non-coding RNA from Rattus norvegicus (Norway rat), 69 nucleotides. The record is from Rfam. Lineage: Eukaryota; Metazoa; Chordata; Mammalia; Rodentia; Muridae.